This 287-nucleotide ribosomal RNA is filed under the name Austrotrema bicinctulum. RNAcentral describes it as "partial 28S large subunit ribosomal RNA". It matches the Rfam family "Eukaryotic large subunit ribosomal RNA", at positions 241 to 536 of the family's 3401-position model. Lineage: Eukaryota; Fungi; Ascomycota; Lecanoromycetes; Ostropales; Graphidaceae. The record is from RNAcentral.
CCCGUGUGAAGCCCUUUCGACGAGUCGAGUUGUUUGGGAAUGCAGCUCUAAAUGGGUGGUAAAUUUCAUCUAAAGCUAAAUACCUGCCGGAGACCGAUAGCGCACAAGUAGAGUGAUCGAAAGAUGAAAAGCACUUUGAAAAGAGAGUCAAACAGUACGUGAAAUUGUUGAAAGGGAAGCGCUUGCAACCAGACUCGUCCGCGGGGGCUCAGCCGUUCUUCGGGGCGGUGCACUCCCCCGCGGUCGGGCCAGCAUCUUCCGGCGGCCGGACAAAGGCCUUGGGAAAG